CACGUAGGGGACGAGCGUUGUCCGGAUUCAUUGGGCGUAAAGAGCUCGUAGGCGGUUUGUUGCGUCGGCUGUGAAAUCCCGAGGCUCAACCUCGGGUCUGCAGUCGAUACGAGCAAACUAGAGUGUUGCAGGGGAGACUGGAAUUCCUGGUGUAGCGGUGAAAUGCGCAGAUAUCAGGAGGAACACCGGUGGCGAAGGCGGGUCUCUGGGCAACAACUGACGCUGAGGAGCGAAAGCGUGGGGAGCGAACAGG
RNAcentral lists this ribosomal RNA (253 nucleotides) under uncultured bacterium. RNAcentral describes it as "partial 16S ribosomal RNA". It matches the Rfam family "Bacterial small subunit ribosomal RNA", at positions 524 to 776 of the family's 1533-position model. The record is from RNAcentral.